GACGAACGCUGGCGGCGUGCCUAAUACAUGCAAGUAGAACGCUGAAGGAGGAGCUUGCUUCUCUGGAUGAGUUGCGAACGGGUGAGUAACGCGUAGGUAACCUGCCUGGUAGCGGGGGAUAACUAUUGGAAACGAUAGCUAAUACCGCAUAAUAGUAGAUGUUGCAUGACAUUUGCUUAAAAGGUGCAAUUGCAUCACUACCAGAUGGACCUGCGUUGUAUUAGCUAGUUGGUGAGGUAACGGCUCACCAAGGCGACGAUACAUAGCCGACCUGAGAGGGUGAUCGGCCACACUGGGACUGAGACACGGCCCAGACUCCUACGGGAGGCAGCAGUAGGGAAUCUUCGGCAAUGGACGGAAGUCUGACCGAGCAACGCCGCGUGAGUGAAGAAGGUUUUCGGAUCGUAAAGCUCUGUUGUAAGAGAAGAACGAGUGUGAGAGUGGAAAGUUCACACUGUGACGGUAUCUUACCAGAAAGGGACGACUAACUACGUG
RNAcentral lists this ribosomal RNA (495 nucleotides) under uncultured bacterium. Its description in RNAcentral is "partial 16S ribosomal RNA". It matches the Rfam family "Bacterial small subunit ribosomal RNA", at positions 28 to 507 of the family's 1533-position model. The record is from RNAcentral.